CACAGAUUGAGACAAUGUUAUGAAGAGCAUGACUGGGGUAACAUGACAGAGUUAGGCUGCUGGUUGUGGAGCAGCUGUUACCUUUGGGCUGACUGAUCAAAACUGAGCACUUGGACUCUAGAGCCUGAUGGGGAGCCUGCCCAGCAGAGAGCUUGAAUAAAAUAAGAACAUGUUAGAUGUUGGUACUUAGAACGUAUAAGC
Molecule: long non-coding RNA, 201 nt
Filed under: Mustela putorius furo (domestic ferret)
Lineage: Eukaryota; Metazoa; Chordata; Mammalia; Carnivora; Mustelidae
Description: lncRNA (ENSMPUG00000028660.1)
Source: RNAcentral